This 558-nucleotide ribosomal RNA is filed under the name uncultured bacterium. RNAcentral describes it as "bacterial SSU rRNA". It matches the Rfam family "Bacterial small subunit ribosomal RNA", at positions 39 to 538 of the family's 1533-position model. The record is from RNAcentral.
GUGAUCAUGCCUAACACAUGCAAGUCGAACGGCAGCACAGAGGAGCUUGCUCCUUGGGUGGCGAGUGGCGGACGGGUGAGGAAUACAUCGGAAUCUACUCUGUCGUGGGGGAUAACGUAGUGGAAACUUACGCUAAUACCUGCAUACGACCUACGGGUGAAAGCAGGGGAUCUUCGGACCUUGCGCGAUUGAAUGAGCCGAUGUCGGAUUAGCUAGUUGGCGGGGUAAAGGCCCACCAAGGCGACGAUCCGUAGCUGGUCUGAGAGGAUGAUCAGCCACUCUGGAACUGAGACACGGUCCAGACUCCUACGGGAGGCAGCAGUGGGGAAUAUUGGACAAUGGGCGCAAGCCUGAUCCAGCCAUACCGCGUGGGUGAAGAAGGCCUUCGGGUCGUAAAGCCCUUUUGUUGGGAAAAGAAAUCCCAGCUGGGCUAAUUACCCCGGGUUGGGGAAUUGACNUCGUAACCCCAAGAAAUUAAAGCCACCGGGCUUAACUUUCCGUUGGCCAGCAAGCCCGCGGGUAAUACGAAAGGGUUGCCAGGCCGUUUACUUCGGAAUU